UAACGAAUCUUCCGCAAUGUACGCAAGUAUGACGGAGCGACGCCGCGUGUAGGAUGAAGCCCUUCGGGGUGUAAACUACUGUCAGGGGUUACCAAGUUCUGAGGAGCCCCAGAGGAAGGCACGGCUAACUCUGUGCCAGCAGCCGCGGUAAGACAGAGGUGCCAAGCGUUAGGCGGAAUCACUGGGCUUAAAGCGUGUGUAGGCGGGUUCCUAAGUACCUUGUGAAAUCCCCCGGCUCAACCGGGGAACUGCUGGGUAUACUGGGUGCCUUGAGCCAACUAGGGGCUGCCGGAACAAGUGGUGGAGCGGUGAAAUGCGUAGAUAUCACUUGGAACGCCAACGGUGAAAACAGGCAGCUGGGGUUGUGCUGACGCUGAGACACGAAAGCCAGGGGAGCAAACGGGAUUAGAUACCCCCGUAGUCC
This 424-nucleotide ribosomal RNA is filed under the name uncultured bacterium. RNAcentral describes it as "bacterial SSU rRNA". It matches the Rfam family "Bacterial small subunit ribosomal RNA", at positions 355 to 796 of the family's 1533-position model. The record is from RNAcentral.